This 1699-nucleotide ribosomal RNA is filed under the name Radopholoides japonicus. RNAcentral's name for it is "SSU rRNA". It matches the Rfam family "Eukaryotic small subunit ribosomal RNA". Lineage: Eukaryota; Metazoa; Nematoda; Chromadorea; Rhabditida; Pratylenchidae. The record is from RNAcentral.
CUCAGUGCUUGACUGAACCGCGAACGGCUCAUUACACCAGUGGUAAUCUACUUGAUCUUGACCACCUACUUGGAUAACUGUGGUAAUUCUAGAGCUAAUACAUGCACCAAAGCUCCGACCGCAAGGAAGGAGCGCAUUUGUUCGCCACAAAACCAAGCGCCUUCGGGCGUCCAAUGUUGACUCAGAACAACUAAGCUGAGCGAACGGUCUUGCACCGUCGCCGUGUCUUUCGAGCUUCUGCCUUAUCAACUUUCGACGGUAGUGUAUCGGCCUACCGUGGUGGUGACGGGUAACGGAGGAUAAGGGUUCGACUCCGGAGAGGGGGCCUGAGAAAUGGCCACCACGUCUAAGGAUGGCAGCAGGCGCGCAAAUUACCCACUCUCAGUAUGAGGAGGUAGUGACGAGAAAUAACAAGCCUGUUCUCAUACGAGGCCAGGCAUUGGAAUGGGUGCGGUUUACAACCCCCAACGAGUAUCUAUGAGAGGGCAAGUCUGGUGCCAGCAGCCGCGGUAAUUCCAGCUCUCAAAAUGCAUAGAAUUAUUGCUGCGGUUAAAAAGCUCGUAGUUGGAUCUCCGUCGAGUCGCCGGUCCAUCUUCGGAUGUGUACUGGUCGGCUUGGCUUUCUGCUGGUUUUUCCUGGCGGUGUGUUUAAUCGCGCGCCGUCAAGGGGCUGGCGAGUUUACUUUGAACAAAUCAGAGUGCUUAAAACAGGCGUCUCGCCUGAAUGUUCUUGCAUGGAAUAAUAGAAGAGGAUUUCGGUUCGAUUUUAUUGGCUUUGCGGACUGAGAUAAUGGUUAACAGAGAUAGACGGGGGCAUUCGUAUUGCCGCGUGAGAGGUGAAAUUCUUGGACCGCGGCAAGACGGACUACAGCGAAAGCAUCUGCCAAGAAUAUUUUCAUUAAUCAAGAACGAAAGUCAGAGGUUCGAAGGCGAUCAGAUACCGCCCUAGUUCUGACCGUAAACGAUGCCAACUAGCGAUCCGCCGGCGGAGCAAUUCGCCCUGGUGGGGAGCUUCCCGGAAACGAAAGUCUUCCGGUUCCGGGGGAAGUAUGGUUGCAAAGCUGAAACUUAAAGGAAUUGACGGAAGGGCACCACCAGGAGUGGAGCCUGCGGCUUAAUUUGACUCAACACGGGGAAACUCACCCGGCCCGGACACCGUAAGGAUUGACAGAUUAACAGCUUUUUCAUGAUUCGGUGGAUGGUGGUGCAUGGCCGUUCUUAGUUCGUGGAGCGAUCUGUCUGGUUUAUUCCGAUAACGAGCGAGACUCCAACCUGCUAAAUAGCCGGCAGAUUGCCAAUGUCUGUAUGGCUUCUUAGAGGGAUCAUCGGUGUUCAGCCGCACGAGAUGGAGCGAUAACAGGUCUGUGAUGCCCUUAGAUGUCCGGGGCUGCACGCGCGCUACACUGGCAAAAUCAGCGUGCUUGUCCUUCCCCGAAAGGGGCGGGUAAACCCGUGAAAAUUUGCCGUGAUUGGGAUCGGAAAUUGCAAUUAUUUUCCGUGAACGAGGAAUUCCAAGUAAGUGCGAGUCAUCAACUCGCGUUGAUUACGUCCCUGCCCUUUGUACACACCGCCCGUCGCUGCCCGGGACUGAGCCAAUUCGAGAAAUCCGGGGAUCGCUGGCGCCGUGCUUUCGGGCCCGGUGCCGGUGAAAACCGGCUUAAUCGCAUCGGUUUGAACCGGGCAAAAGUCGUACAAAGGGU